Molecule: long non-coding RNA, 310 nt
Organism: Acinonyx jubatus (cheetah)
Lineage: Eukaryota; Metazoa; Chordata; Mammalia; Carnivora; Felidae
Exons: 3
Source: RefSeq, a predicted model, not a curated record
GGCUGUGGAUCUGGAGGCCAUGUUGUAAUACACGAGAACCCCAUACUCACAGUGCUCUGGGCACCAGCAACUUGGCUGACACCUGGGUGCUUGUCAGAACUACCGACUCUCAGACUCUCCAGACUCACUGAAUUCUGAUGGUAUUAUGCUGAAGAUGUGCCAGGAAAAAGUAUCUAAAAUUCAUGUCUUAAAGCAGCUGGAAACCCAAAGAGACUUAAAACUGAAGCAUUUUCUGUUACAGUUUUGGUCCUGUCCAGAAUACCUCUCUCUCUCAUAACUGAAGAAACUGAAUGUCAGCCUAUCAUCGCAG